This 259-nucleotide ribosomal RNA is filed under the name uncultured Staphylococcus sp. RNAcentral describes it as "partial 16S ribosomal RNA". It matches the Rfam family "Bacterial small subunit ribosomal RNA", at positions 103 to 355 of the family's 1533-position model. Lineage: Bacteria; Bacillati; Bacillota; Bacilli; Caryophanales; Staphylococcaceae. The record is from RNAcentral.
CGGGUGAGUAACACGUGGAUAACCUACCUAUAAGACUGGGAUAACUUCGGGAAACCGGAGCUAAUACCGGAUAAUAUAUUGAACCGCAUGGUUCAAUAGUGAAAGACGGUCUUGCUGUCACUUAUAGAUGGAUCCGCGCCGCAUUAGCUAGUUGGUAAGGUAACGGCUUACCAAGGCAACGAUGCGUAGCCGACCUGAGAGGGUGAUCGGCCACACUGGAACUGAGACACGGUCCAGACUCCUACGGGAGGCAGCAGCC